CCUACGGGUGGCUGCAGUGAGGAAUAUUGGUCAAUGGACGAGAGUCUGAACCAGCCAAGUAGCGUGAAGGAUGACUGCCCUAUGGGUUGUAAACUUCUUUUAUAUGGGAAUAAAAUGUUCCACGUGUGGGAUUUUGUAUGUACCAUAUGAAUAAGGAUCGGCUAAUUCCGUUCCAGCAGCCGCGGUAAGACGGAGGAUCCGAGCGUUAUCCGGAUUUAUUGGGUUUAAAGGGAGCGUAGGUGGAUUGUUAAGUCAGUUGUGAAAGUUUGCGGCUCAACCGUAAAAUUGCAGUUGAAACUGGCAGUCUUGAGUACAGUAGAGGUGGGCGGAAUUCGUGGUGUAGCGGUGAAAUGCUUAGAUAUCACGAAGAACUCCGAUUGCGAAGGCAGUUCACUGGACUGCAACUGACACUGAGGCUCGAAAGUGUGGGUAUCAAACAGGAUUAGAUACCCCAGUAGUC
This 460-nucleotide ribosomal RNA is filed under the name uncultured bacterium. RNAcentral's name for it is "partial 16S ribosomal RNA". It matches the Rfam family "Bacterial small subunit ribosomal RNA", at positions 338 to 795 of the family's 1533-position model. The record is from RNAcentral.